GCCCACGAAAGCAAAUCAAGCAUGUUACGUUCCAUAAUGCUUGCUAAAGUCUGAACCAAAAUGUCAAAUUGUCAGAUGUAACCCACAAUAGCAGUCAUUAUUCUUGACUUCUGAUUUUAAAACUAGUUAUUCAACAAUGUGUUAUGUGAAGGUGCUGAAACAUUUAGAUGAUUUCCCAAAAUUCGUAAGAGAAACAAUGUGGCCCGCGACAAAAAUGAGUUUGAUAACCCUGUGAUACGCAGUCACUUACCCC
Long non-coding RNA from Hippocampus zosterae (dwarf seahorse), 253 nucleotides. RefSeq lists it as uncharacterized. The record is from RefSeq and is a predicted model, not a curated record. NCBI's taxonomy places the organism in Eukaryota, Metazoa, Chordata, Actinopteri, Syngnathiformes, Syngnathidae. The transcript is spliced from 2 exons.